GCGGCGAUAGCUCAGUUGGGAGAGCGUCAGACUGAAGAUCUGAAGGUCACGUGUUCGAUCCACUUCACUGCA
Molecule: transfer RNA, 72 nt
Filed under: Ipomoea nil (Japanese morning glory)
Lineage: Eukaryota; Viridiplantae; Streptophyta; Magnoliopsida; Solanales; Convolvulaceae
Rfam family: tRNA
About the family: Transfer RNA (tRNA) molecules are approximately 80 nucleotides in length. Their secondary structure includes four short double-helical elements and three loops (D, anti-codon, and T loops). Further hydrogen bonds mediate the characteristic L-shaped molecular structure. tRNAs have two regions of fundamental functional importance: the anti-codon, which is responsible for specific mRNA codon recognition, and the 3' end, to which the tRNAs corresponding amino acid is attached (by aminoacyl-tRNA synthetases). tRNAs cope with the degeneracy of the genetic code in two manners: having more than one tRNA (with a specific anti-codon) for a particular amino acid; and 'wobble' base-pairing, i.e. permitting non-standard base-pairing at the 3rd anti-codon position.
Source: Rfam by way of RNAcentral